GACGAACGCUGGCGGCGUGCUUAACACAUGCAAGUCGAACGGAAAGGCCCUGCUUUUGUGGGGUGCUCGAGUGGCGAACGGGUGAGUAACACGUGAGUAACCUGCCCUUGACUUUGGGAUAACUUCAGGAAACUGGGGCUAAUACCGGAUAGGAGCUCCUGCUGCAUGGUGGGGGUUGGAAAGUUUCGGCGGUUGGGGAUGGACUCGCGGCUUAUCAGCUUGUUGGUGGGGUAGUGGCUUACCAAGGCUUUGACGGGUAGCCCGCCUGGGAGGGUGGCCGGGCACAUGGGGCCUGAGAUACGGCCCAGACUCCAACGGGAGGCAGUAGUGGGGAAUAUUGCACAGUGGGCGGGAGCCUGAUGCAGCAACGCCGCGUGCGGGAUGACGGCCUUCGGGUUGUAAACCGCUUUCGCCUGUGACGAAGCGUGAGUGACGGUAAUGGGUAAAGAAGCACCGGCUAACUACGUG
RNAcentral lists this ribosomal RNA (468 nucleotides) under uncultured bacterium. RNAcentral describes it as "partial 16S ribosomal RNA". It matches the Rfam family "Bacterial small subunit ribosomal RNA", at positions 28 to 507 of the family's 1533-position model. The record is from RNAcentral.